UACGUAGGUGGCAAGCGUUGUCCGGAUUUACUGGGCGUAAAGGGCGUGCAGGCGGUUUGUUAAGUCUAGGGUGAAAGCUCCCGGCUCAACUGGGAGAGGUCCUUGGAUACUGGCAGACUUGAGGAGAGUAGAGGAGAGUGGAAUUCCCGGUGUAGUGGUGAUAUGCGUAGAUAUCGGGAGGAACACCAAUUGCGAAGGCAGCUCGCUGGGACGUAACUGACGCUGAGACGCGAAAGCGUGGGGAGCAAACAGG
RNAcentral lists this ribosomal RNA (253 nucleotides) under uncultured bacterium. Its description in RNAcentral is "partial 16S ribosomal RNA". It matches the Rfam family "Bacterial small subunit ribosomal RNA", at positions 524 to 776 of the family's 1533-position model. The record is from RNAcentral.